Molecule: RNA transcript, 847 nt
Organism: Nomascus leucogenys (northern white-cheeked gibbon)
Lineage: Eukaryota; Metazoa; Chordata; Mammalia; Primates; Hylobatidae
Exons: 7
Source: RefSeq, a predicted model, not a curated record
GGGUGAGGGGCGCCACCGAGGAAGCGCCCACCGGGCUCCGGGGGCUGCCAGGCCCCGAACUGAGGAAGUUGACUGCCAGAUCACACUCUCUUGGCCCACGCAGAUAGAUUCCAUUCAUCCUUUCGAAUGUCUACACCAUAUUUGGGAUAACAUGCCAUCAUCUCACAUUGUGUUGAAAGAAGAAACCAGAAUGUUGGGGUUGAUGUAUGCCAUAUGGAUAAAUUUAAACAGUUUUGGCCUUGCGAUAAUUGGUUUACUUCUAAUUGCAUGUGAAAUUAUACUCUUUUUAAGGAAAGAUGAAAAUAUUCAGUGGCCACACGUACCCAGUAACAGAGGGAGCAAAGCAAAUCUUAUCCUCAAAGAACUGCAGCUGCUUGUUAGAUCUGCCUGGUGGUUCCAUAGGGAAACUGCUCAGAGAACCCGCCUUUACCUUGCCUAAAAUAGAACUAUCCCAGAGGUCAGAAAAGGAGUCCAUUCAUCCUCUAUAACUGCUAUACAAUAUCUUUGUUAGAAUGCCAAGAAGAUUUAUCCUAAAAGAAGGCACCAAAGCAAUGGGGUUCAUCAACUCAGGAUCCAGCAGUGUAAUACAGAAGCCUGCUACAAGAUAUAAGGCACUUCACCCUCGGAAACCUCACUGUCAGAAUCCUUGGAAAUCACACCACGCACAACUUCUAUUCAUAAUUUGCAAAGAACCAGUGUGACUCCACUCAAGAACAAAAGAUUAAUUGUGAAUUAGCGAAGAACUCUAAUUUUUUCAAGAGGCCACAUGGAAAACGCAUUCUAAUGAAGUCCUUUCCAUUGCUCUUUUUUCUUAGUUCUUCAAUAAAGCAUGCGAUUUGAUCACAAA